This 93-nucleotide ribosomal RNA is filed under the name Triticum aestivum (bread wheat). RNAcentral's name for it is "rRNA SSU_rRNA_eukarya". Lineage: Eukaryota; Viridiplantae; Streptophyta; Magnoliopsida; Poales; Poaceae. The record is from RNAcentral.
GAGACCUCAGCCUGCUAACUAGCUAUGCGGAGCCAUCCCUCCGCAGCUAGCUUCUUAGAGGGACUAUCGCCGUUUAGGCGACGGAAGUUUGAG